RNAcentral lists this ribosomal RNA (578 nucleotides) under uncultured bacterium. RNAcentral describes it as "bacterial SSU rRNA". It matches the Rfam family "Bacterial small subunit ribosomal RNA", at positions 102 to 694 of the family's 1533-position model. The record is from RNAcentral.
ACGGGUGAGUAACACGUGAGUAACCUGCCCUUGACUCUGGGAUAAGCGCUAGAAAUGGCGUCUAAUACCGGAUACGAGCUUCAGCCGCAUGGCUAGGAGUUGGAAAGGAUUUUGGUCAAGGAUGGACUCGCGGCCUAUCAGCUAGUUGGUGAGGUAAUGGCUCUCCAAGGCGACGACGGGUAGCCGGCCUGAGAGGGUGACCGGCCACACUGGGACUGAGACACGGCCCAGACUCCUACGGGAGGCAGCAGUGGGGAAUAUUGCACAAUGGGCGAAAGCCUGAUGCAGCAACGCCGCGUGAGGGAUGACGGCCUUCGGGUUGUAAACCUCUUUUAGUAGGGAAGAAGCGAAAGUGACGGUACCUGCAGAAAAAGCACCGGCUAACUACGUGCCAGCAGCCGCGGUAAUACGUAGGGUGCAAGCGUUGUCCGGAAUUAUUGGGCGUAAAGAGCUCGUAGGCGGUUUGUCGCGUCUGCUGUGAAAUCUGGGGGCUCAACCCCCAGCCUGCAGUGGGUACGGGCAGACUAGAGUGCGGUAGGGGAGAUUGGAAUUCCUGGUGUAGCGGUGGAAUGCGCAGA